GUGUGUGUUCUGGUAAUCAUCACGCGAUGGGGACCGUUAACUGUUUACACAGUCACGUCAUGGGGACCGGUUGCGCUUUGGGGACCAAAAUCCCGGUCCCCAUGAGGAUAACCCUUUUAAAUGACUACUAGAGCUACUCUGAAGGUGCCCGUGAAGUUUUAAGCAUUGGCCCAUAUGACAUGUUUUUUGGUGAGUGUGAGUGUGUGAGCAUUGCUCAUUGGUGGCCCUACUGUUUCUAGUUAGUACUGCACCCACUGCUUCACACACACACAUCUUCCAAAUAUGGUUGGGUGCCACCCACUUCCUUGUCCCCAUUAGGAAUGAUUCAAGCAGCGAUGACAUUUUCAGCAUCAAGAGGUAGCUAUCAACAGUAAAAGAAGAUUAUUUGCCGGAGAAACUAGCUAAGAAGAUAAGAACAUGUGCAGAGGAGCAACAGUAAAGCAUAAGAAAUGCCACCACGGAUCAGCAAUUCAACAUGAUAUUUCACAGUAAAAGUAUUGAUGCCUUCAGAGAAGAUGGCUCAAUUGGGUGACAAGUUAAUGACAGACGUCCUAACUCCAAAAUGAAAAAAAUUGAUGUUAAUGGAGAACCCCACCUUUGUUUAUUUGCCCUGGAUGACAUUAAAGAAGGAGAAGAAAUCGCCUAUAAUUAUGGAGGUGAAGACUGCCCAUGGCGAACACAGACGACCAGCAUCACUGUUAACACCAUGGAGGAGGAUGAUUCAGAUCCUGUCCACUCAGAGAGUCUGAUGGAUUGUGCCUUUGAGCCAAAGACCACACCUGAAGAGGUACAACUGACCAAAAGAAGAAAACACCCUGGAAGAGGACAGACGUGAAGGCAGUGGAAAGGCACAUGAAUCGAUUCAUCACAUCUUGAAUUGUUCCAGCAAAGUUUGACUGUGAGAAGUGUUAAAGGGCUGAACCAGAAGUUCUUAAGGACCGGAGCUGGCAGAAUGUGAAAUUCUACAUAUAUAACCGCAUUACAGCCAACAAGAGGAAAUUAAGUAAAUAAUGGGAAGAUUACCACCAGUAAGCGGUUGCUAUGUGGUUGUCUGAAAUUAAAAAUAUCUUACAAAUUUGACUGAAUAAGAAUUAUUCUUUGUAGGGAUAUAGAUAGCCCGUCACUGUUUGAUAAGUUUAUAUUCACUUCAACCACAUUACACUAAUAGUCCUAUCAAAUUCUGCUUCAUUGUAAGGCGGAGUUCAUGAACAGCAAGAUUUUCUGUACAAAGUGAUGCUUUGCAUCCCUAUCACCAUUUACAGGUAUCAUGUUAUAUCUCUACAUUUUCUAUCAACAACUUUUGUUCUUUUUUGGCUAGACUUUAUUAGUUUUAAACAAACGGCUCUAACAAAUGUAAUAAUGGAAGGAC
This is a long non-coding RNA of Pleuronectes platessa (European plaice), 1369 nucleotides long. RefSeq lists it as uncharacterized. Lineage: Eukaryota; Metazoa; Chordata; Actinopteri; Pleuronectiformes; Pleuronectidae. The record is from RefSeq and is a predicted model, not a curated record. The transcript is spliced from 5 exons.